GACUCGAGGCCAGCGAGAGAGCGUUGCCGCAGGCAACGACCCGUAGGGCGAAGCGCGCAGCGCUGAGUAAUCCUUCCCCCACCACCA
Molecule: small RNA, 87 nt
Filed under: Escherichia coli
Lineage: Bacteria; Pseudomonadati; Pseudomonadota; Gammaproteobacteria; Enterobacterales; Enterobacteriaceae
Description: partial RtT sRNA
Rfam family: RtT RNA
About the family: This family represents a bacterial cis-regulatory element known as RtT RNA. The exact function of RtT is unknown although it is thought that it may be involved in changing the cellular response in relation to amino acid starvation.
Source: RNAcentral